Molecule: ribosomal RNA, 168 nt
Filed under: Melanconiella spodiaea
Lineage: Eukaryota; Fungi; Ascomycota; Sordariomycetes; Diaporthales; Melanconiellaceae
Also listed under: 5 other names
Description: partial 18S ribosomal RNA
Rfam family: Eukaryotic small subunit ribosomal RNA
Source: RNAcentral
CACACCGCCCGUCGCUACUACCGAUUGAAUGGUUCAGUGAGGCGUUCGGACUGGCCCAGGGAGGUCGGCAACGACCACCCAGGGCCGGAAAGUUCUCCAAACUCGAUCAUUUAGAGGAAGUAAAAGUCGUAACAAGGUCUCCGUUGGUGAACCAGCGGAGGGAUCAUU